Molecule: ribosomal RNA, 468 nt
Filed under: uncultured bacterium
Lineage: Bacteria
Description: partial 16S ribosomal RNA
Rfam family: Bacterial small subunit ribosomal RNA
Source: RNAcentral
GACGAACGCUGGCGGCGUGCUUAACACAUGCAAGUCGAACGGAAAGGCCCUGCUUUUGUGGGGUGCUCGAGUGGCGAACGGGUGAGUAACACGUGAGUAACCUGCCCUUGACUUUUGGAUAACUUCAGGAAACUGGGGCUAAUACCGGAUAGGAGCUCCUGCUGCAUGGUGGGGGUUGGAAAGUUUCGGCGGUUGGGGAUGGACUCGCGGCUUAUCAGCUUGUUGGUGGGGUAGUGGCUUACCAAGGCUUUGACGGGUAGCCGGCCUGAGAGGGUGACCGGCCACAUUGAGACUGAGAUACGGCCCAGACUCCUACGGGAGGCAGCAGUGGGGAAUAUUGCACAAUGGGCGGAAGCCUGAUGCAGCAACGCCGCGUGCGGGAUGACGGCCUUCGGGUUGUAAACCGCUUUCGCCUGUGACGAAGCGUGAGUGACGGUAAUGGGUAAAGAAGCACCGGCUAACUACGUG